GACGAACGCUGGCGGCGUGCUUAACACAUGCAAGUCGAAGAUAGUGGCGAACGGGUGAGUAAUACGUGGGUAACCUGCCCUCCUUUUUGGGAUAAGCCUUGGCAACGGCGUCUAAUACCGACUAAAGGGGGAUGGGCUCGCGGCCUAUGAGCUUGUUGGUGGGGUGAUGGACUACCGAGGCGGUGACGGGUAGCCGGACUGAGCGGGGGACCGGGCACAUGGGGACUGCGAUACGGCCAAGGUUGCUACGGGAGGGGGCAGUGGGGGAUAUGGCAAAAGGGGGGAGAGGCUGAGGCAGCGAAGCCGAGUGGGGGAUGAAGGCUUUCGGGUUGUAAACCUGUUUCGAUAGCGAAUGGGUAGGUGGAGAAGAAGCGCCGGCUAACUACGUGCCAGCAGCCGCGGUAAUUC
RNAcentral lists this ribosomal RNA (408 nucleotides) under uncultured bacterium. Its description in RNAcentral is "partial 16S ribosomal RNA". It matches the Rfam family "Bacterial small subunit ribosomal RNA", at positions 28 to 526 of the family's 1533-position model. The record is from RNAcentral.